Molecule: ribosomal RNA, 139 nt
Filed under: uncultured bacterium
Lineage: Bacteria
Description: partial 16S ribosomal RNA
Rfam family: Bacterial small subunit ribosomal RNA
Source: RNAcentral
UGGGGAAUAUUGCACAAUGGGCGAAAGCCUGAUGCAGCAACGCCGCGUGAAGGAAGACGGUUUUCGGAUUGUAAACUUCUGUUCUUAGUGAAGAAAAAAUGACGGUAGCUAAGGAGCAAGCCACGGCUAACUACGUGCC